RNAcentral lists this ribosomal RNA (497 nucleotides) under uncultured bacterium. RNAcentral describes it as "partial 16S ribosomal RNA". It matches the Rfam family "Bacterial small subunit ribosomal RNA", at positions 28 to 507 of the family's 1533-position model. The record is from RNAcentral.
GACGAACGCUGGCGGCGUGCCUAAUACAUGCAAGUUGAGCGAUGAAGAUUGGUGCUUGCACCAAUUUGAAGAGCAGCGAACGGGUGAGUAACGCGUGGGGAAUCUGCCUUUGAGCGGGGGACAACAUUUGGAAACGAAUGCUAAUACCGCAUAACAACUUUAAACAUAAGUUUUAAGUUUGAAAGAUGCAAUUGCAUCACUCAAAGAUGAUCCCGCGUUGUAUUAGCUAGUUGGUGAGGUAAAGGCUCACCAAGGCGAUGAUACAUAGCCGACCUGAGAGGGUGAUCGGCCACAUUGGGACUGAGACACGGCCCAAACCCCUACGGGAGGCAGCAGUAGGGAAUCUUCGGCAAUGGACGAAAGUCUGACCGAGCAACGCCGCGUGAGUGAAGAAGGGUGUCGGAUCGUAAAACUCUGUUGGUAGAGAAGAACGUUGGUGAGAGUGGAAAGCUCAUCAAGUGACGGUAACUACCCAGAAAGGGACGGCUAACUACGUG